RNAcentral lists this ribosomal RNA (459 nucleotides) under Salmonella enterica subsp. enterica serovar Agona. RNAcentral describes it as "bacterial SSU rRNA". It matches the Rfam family "Bacterial small subunit ribosomal RNA", at positions 1056 to 1515 of the family's 1533-position model. Lineage: Bacteria; Pseudomonadati; Pseudomonadota; Gammaproteobacteria; Enterobacterales; Enterobacteriaceae. The record is from RNAcentral. RNAcentral also lists the same sequence under 1 other name.
CAGCUCGUGUUGUGAAAUGUUGGGUUAAGUCCCGCAACGAGCGCAACCCUUAUCCUUUGUUGCCAGCGGUUAGGCCGGGAACUCAAAGGAGACUGCCAGUGAUAAACUGGAGGAAGGUGGGGAUGACGUCAAGUCAUCAUGGCCCUUACGACCAGGGCUACACACGUGCUACAAUGGCGCAUACAAAGAGAAGCGACCUCGCGAGAGCAAGCGGACCUCAUAAAGUGCGUCGUAGUCCGGAUUGGAGUCUGCAACUCGACUCCAUGAAGUCGGAAUCGCUAGUAAUCGUGGAUCAGAAUGCCACGGUGAAUACGUUCCCGGGCCUUGUACACACCGCCCGUCACACCAUGGGAGUGGGUUGCAAAAGAAGUAGGUAGCUUAACCUUCGGGAGGGCGCUUACCACUUUGUGAUUCAUGACUGGGGUGAAGUCGUAACAAGGUAACCGUAGGGGAACCUGC